GUCUCCUUAAGGUUUUAAAUGGGUGCUAAGAGAAUGGAUUUUCAAAAAAAUUCUUUUUUAAGUUUAAAAAUUAAAGUUAUUUUUAUUUGUGAAGAAACAAUAAUAAAAAUUAAAGACAAGAAGACCCUAUGAAUUUUUAUAAACUUUAAUAUUUAAUUAAAUAUUAAAGUUUAUUUAAUUGGGGCGAUUGAGAAAGAUAAAAAACUUUUUUUAUUUAAAGAGAUCCAUUAUUAAUGAUUUUAUGUAAAAAAUACUCUAGGGAUAACAGCGUAAUAAUUUUAGAUAGAUCUUAUAGAAAAAAUAGUUUGCGACCUCGAUGUUGGAUUAGGAUACUUGUUUAAUGAAGAAGUAAAUAAAGAA
Molecule: ribosomal RNA, 360 nt
Filed under: Haemaphysalis longicornis (longhorned tick)
Lineage: Eukaryota; Metazoa; Arthropoda; Arachnida; Ixodida; Ixodidae
Description: partial 16S ribosomal RNA
Source: RNAcentral